AUGAUACAACUUUCUGGAUGGUGUGUAGUCUGUCAACAUGUGAAACCCAUGUGUAUUUCGGGGAGUAGUUUCCCCUGUUUAAGAUCAAUAAUGGCUGCAGAUAUACAAUGCGGUAUGCUGUCUGGUCAUCAACAGAGAGUUUUGACGCCCAUAUUUCUACCAAACACCUUUGUUUUGUUCAUCAGACAGGAGUAGUCUCCCCUGUUUAAGAUCAAUAAUGGCAAAUAUACAAUGUGGUAUGCUGUCUGGUCAUUAACAGAGAGUUUUGACACCUGUCGUAUCUCUACCAAUCACCUCUGUAACCUUUGUUGGGUUCAUCAGACAGUUUUAAGAUUUGGUGACUGCAUGUACCGAGUAGCUAGGGAAUUAAGCUGAAUUCACGUUGGUUUGCUUGACAUUACCAAGGACAAGGCUUUGCGUCUCAAUAUGAGUGAAAAAUUCUCGAAAGGAAUGUUAAACAACAAAUGAAGAAAAAAACAACAACCAAGGACAAGGACC
Molecule: long non-coding RNA, 498 nt
Organism: Saccostrea echinata
Lineage: Eukaryota; Metazoa; Mollusca; Bivalvia; Ostreida; Ostreidae
Exons: 4
Source: RefSeq, a predicted model, not a curated record